RNAcentral lists this ribosomal RNA (373 nucleotides) under uncultured bacterium. Its description in RNAcentral is "bacterial SSU rRNA". It matches the Rfam family "Bacterial small subunit ribosomal RNA", at positions 527 to 898 of the family's 1533-position model. The record is from RNAcentral.
GUAGGGGGCAAGCGUUGUCCGGAUUUAUUGGGCGUAAAGAGCGUGUAGGCGGCCAGACAGGUCCGUUGUGAAAACUGGAGGCUUAACCUUCAGACGUCGAUGGAAACCGUCGGGCUAGAGUCCGGAAGAGGAGAGUGGAAUUCCUGGUGUAGCGGUGAAAUGCGCAGAUAUCAGGAAGAACACCCGUGGCUAAGGCGGCUCUCUAGUACGGUACUGACGCUGAGACGCGAAAGCGUGGGGAGCGAACAGGAUUAGAUACCCUGGUAGUCCACGCCGUAAACGAUGGGUGCUAGGUGUGGGGGGUGUCGACUCCCUCCGUGCCGAAGCUAACGCAUUAAGCACCCCGCCUGGGGAGUACGGCCGCAAGGCUAAA